UCGAAGAAUCAGCAGAUUAGACUGUUGUUUAUCCACCACGUUUAUAAAAGAGAUUCUGCUCUCGAUACCUCAGUAGAUAUCGCAAUGAAAGUGCCAGUACUGAUAGUACUAGCCCUCGUGGGCUUGUCUAGUGCCAAAUACGAGGGCUCAACAAUCUUGAGUUUAGCAUUGAAAUCGAAAAUGUUGGAACCGCCAUUCAGGCUGAAAAACACUACCACAAAUCGAGACAAGCUUUAGGUUUGGGAACAAUUACUUUUGACCAAUAUUUACGCCACGCUGAGAUUAAUGCUUAUUUGGCCCAACUGGCUAAAGACUACCCCGACACUGUCACUCUAGGAACAAUCGGACAGUCGUACGAAAAACAUUCCCCGACUACAAUCCGAUCUAUUCUUACAGCAUCUCCUCUUUCACGACAGCUUAUACCGUUUAUAGGUAUGUGUCUAUCGAGGAGAAUCAUCGGCACGACCAUCAAUCCUGAAUUCGUCUUCGACUCAUGAGCCUUUGGCCUUUGGCGAAUCAACAGGACAGUAAAAUUAGCUGAACUUGGUGAACAAACCAAGCAUUUGGAAAUUUAAAUAGAAUUUUAUUAUUAACACUAUAAACAAAUCAUUAGCAGAAUAAUAAAAUAAGUAUUAAUUUUUUUAACAUAAUAAAUUAUAAUAGUGUAUCACUACA
Tribolium castaneum (red flour beetle) is the source of this 675-nucleotide long non-coding RNA. RefSeq lists it as uncharacterized. The transcript has 2 exons. NCBI's taxonomy places the organism in Eukaryota, Metazoa, Arthropoda, Insecta, Coleoptera, Tenebrionidae. The record is from RefSeq and is a predicted model, not a curated record.